Molecule: long non-coding RNA, 148 nt
Organism: Neodiprion fabricii
Lineage: Eukaryota; Metazoa; Arthropoda; Insecta; Hymenoptera; Diprionidae
Exons: 3
Source: RefSeq, a predicted model, not a curated record
GUCGACUCUGAAGGCUGUCGUUUGUUUGACAGAUUACUCACACCUACACGUAUAUGUAUACAUAGGUAUUAUACAUAUAUUCAGGUAUGCAUCCCGUGUACCUGUAUAUACGUAUGUCGUGUAGAUACCUAGGCACGUAUAGGUAUAG